UCUUGUUGCUGUGACAUCCCAAAUGAGGGAUAGGUGAGGGGCAGGUAAAGGAUGCUGCCUAUGCAGCUGGCUUGUGCAGCAAAUGGAGAGUGUUGCCAUUCCCUGAGGUAAGACACCUAAACUUAGUAUAAUUGGAGACGAAAAUGACAUGGCAAGUUUUGUAUAUGUUAGAUUUUGAAGUGAAAUUAGCAAAGAUAAAUAUUCAGUAGGUA
Molecule: long non-coding RNA, 212 nt
Filed under: Homo sapiens (human)
Lineage: Eukaryota; Metazoa; Chordata; Mammalia; Primates; Hominidae
Description: HSALNT0205165
Source: RNAcentral